GAGGGUAUAGCUCAGCGGUAGAGUGCAUGCCUAAGAUGCACAAGGUCCUGGGUUCAAUCCCCAGUACCUCUA
This 72-nucleotide transfer RNA is filed under the name Camelus bactrianus (Bactrian camel). It matches the Rfam family "tRNA". From Rfam's summary of the family: Transfer RNA (tRNA) molecules are approximately 80 nucleotides in length. Their secondary structure includes four short double-helical elements and three loops (D, anti-codon, and T loops). Further hydrogen bonds mediate the characteristic L-shaped molecular structure. tRNAs have two regions of fundamental functional importance: the anti-codon, which is responsible for specific mRNA codon recognition, and the 3' end, to which the tRNAs corresponding amino acid is attached (by aminoacyl-tRNA synthetases). tRNAs cope with the degeneracy of the genetic code in two manners: having more than one tRNA (with a specific anti-codon) for a particular amino acid; and 'wobble' base-pairing, i.e. permitting non-standard base-pairing at the 3rd anti-codon position. The record is from Rfam by way of RNAcentral. RNAcentral also lists the same sequence under 2 other names. Lineage: Eukaryota; Metazoa; Chordata; Mammalia; Artiodactyla; Camelidae.